GAAAAAUCUCUCCCCCAUCACCAGCCCAGUCCUUCCUGCCGUGAGGUCACAGCCCUGUCUUUGUGACACAGCUGUCUGUUGCCAUGGAAGUGUUUGUGCUUUCACAAAGUCAGCACAGCGAUGACUUCACAAGCAAGGUCAUGGAGGAGCAGAUGGGCUUGGGAGGAGG
Balearica pavonina (black crowned-crane) is the source of this 169-nucleotide non-coding RNA. The record is from Rfam. NCBI's taxonomy places the organism in Eukaryota, Metazoa, Chordata, Aves, Gruiformes, Gruidae.